RNAcentral lists this ribosomal RNA (287 nucleotides) under Escherichia coli. RNAcentral's name for it is "partial 16S ribosomal RNA". It matches the Rfam family "Bacterial small subunit ribosomal RNA", at positions 1 to 284 of the family's 1533-position model. The record is from RNAcentral. Lineage: Bacteria; Pseudomonadati; Pseudomonadota; Gammaproteobacteria; Enterobacterales; Enterobacteriaceae.
AAAUUGAAGAGUUUGAUCAUGGCUCAGAUUGAACGCUGGCGGCAGGCCUAACACAUGCAAGUCGAACGGUAACAGGAAACAGCUUGCUGUUUCGCUGACGAGUGGCGGACGGGUGAGUAAUGUCUGGGAAACUGCCUGAUGGAGGGGGAUAACUACUGGAAACGGUAGCUAAUACCGCAUAACGUCGCAAGACCAAAGAGGGGGACCUUCGGGCCUCUUGCCAUCGGAUGUGCCCAGAUGGGAUUAGCUAGUAGGUGGGGUAACGGCUCACCUAGGCGACGAUCCCU